ACUUGUACCUGGAGAGGUGAUAGUCACUGCAGCAUCAAGCUAGAAUAGUGGUGCUGCCCAGAGAGCACAUUCAUUGUGGCAGUUAUGUGUAGAUGUGUUAACUCGGUGACCAGCGGCUGGAUGAUGUUCAAGAAAAGUUAAGGCAAUGGUCAGGUUUCCUUGUUUUCUUUCUUUUCAUUAAUCAGUACCCAGCAAUAACAGCAACAGCGAAGGGUGAAAUGUCUCUUGUGGUCAGACCUGCAACACAAUACUGCUGCUGUCCUCAUCCCCAAUACACCUCCAAAAUAUAAAUACAAUAAAUAGAAAUAAACACCAUGAUUUGAAAUCCCCCACUUCCUAUCCUGUCACUUGGUCUCUCCCGGAACCUUUAUGAAGUUGUUGUGCCCCCGGGGAAUCCUUUGGCCGAGCUCCGCGGAGCAGACACCGGACUGGACAAGCGGAGACGAGUGCGCACUCCUGCACCUGCCCGACGGCACGCAAUCAACCGCGGUCACGAGGUUCCCGAAAAGCUCACACAUUCAAUAAAGUUAAAUAUCUGUAAAGAUGUGCAAA
Long non-coding RNA from Mugil cephalus (flathead mullet), 552 nucleotides. RefSeq lists it as uncharacterized. The transcript has 2 exons. Lineage: Eukaryota; Metazoa; Chordata; Actinopteri; Mugiliformes; Mugilidae. The record is from RefSeq and is a predicted model, not a curated record.